RNAcentral lists this ribosomal RNA (410 nucleotides) under uncultured bacterium. RNAcentral describes it as "bacterial SSU rRNA". It matches the Rfam family "Bacterial small subunit ribosomal RNA", at positions 355 to 776 of the family's 1533-position model. The record is from RNAcentral.
UGGGGAAUAUUGCACAAUGGGCGGAAGCCUGAUGCAGCGACGCCGCGUGGGGGAUGAAGGCCUUCGGGUUGUAAACUCCUUUCGACAGGGACGAAGCUUUUUGUGACGGUACCUGUAUAAGAAGCACCGGCUAACUACGUGCCAGCAGCCGCGGUAAUACGUAGGGUGCGAGCGUUGUCCGGAAUUACUGGGCGUAAAGAGCUCGUAGGUGGUUUGUCGCGUCGUCUGUGAAAUUCCGGGGCUUAACUCCGGGCGUGCAGGCGAUACGGGCUAACUUGAGUGCUGUAGGGGAGACUGGAAUUCCUGGUGUAGCGGUGAAAUGCGCAGAUAUCAGGAGGAACACCGAUGGCGAAGGCAGGUCUCUGGGCAGUUACUGACGCUGAGGAGCGAAAGCAUGGGUAGCGAACAGG